GGGGAAUUAGCUCAGUUGGUAGAGCACCUGCUUUGCAAGCAGGGGGUCAGCGGUUCGAAUCCGCUAUUCUCCAC
This 74-nucleotide transfer RNA is filed under the name compost metagenome. RNAcentral describes it as "tRNA-Ala". It matches the Rfam family "tRNA". Rfam says of the family: Transfer RNA (tRNA) molecules are approximately 80 nucleotides in length. Their secondary structure includes four short double-helical elements and three loops (D, anti-codon, and T loops). Further hydrogen bonds mediate the characteristic L-shaped molecular structure. tRNAs have two regions of fundamental functional importance: the anti-codon, which is responsible for specific mRNA codon recognition, and the 3' end, to which the tRNAs corresponding amino acid is attached (by aminoacyl-tRNA synthetases). tRNAs cope with the degeneracy of the genetic code in two manners: having more than one tRNA (with a specific anti-codon) for a particular amino acid; and 'wobble' base-pairing, i.e. permitting non-standard base-pairing at the 3rd anti-codon position. The record is from RNAcentral.